CACCCUCACUCUUCAAUCUCCCUCUCUAGUCUUUCACUCUCACCCAGUCUCUCCCUCAAUAGCUCCGAUUAGGGUUCAAACAUUAGAUCUCCCUCACUAGCUUCAUAUAUUGUCUCCGAAUGGUAAUUGAAUACACAAGCACACACAAUUUCUCCAAUUAGGGUUACUAACUUUCGAAUUUUCUCAAUUUGCAGGCUGGUUAGGGUUUCAUAAAUUGGGGCUUUUGUUUAUAAG
This 234-nucleotide long non-coding RNA is filed under the name Daucus carota (carrot). Its description in RNAcentral is "long non-coding RNA (DCAR_LNC007658)". The record is from RNAcentral. Lineage: Eukaryota; Viridiplantae; Streptophyta; Magnoliopsida; Apiales; Apiaceae.